This 359-nucleotide ribosomal RNA is filed under the name uncultured bacterium. RNAcentral describes it as "bacterial SSU rRNA". It matches the Rfam family "Bacterial small subunit ribosomal RNA", at positions 30 to 387 of the family's 1533-position model. The record is from RNAcentral.
AUUGAACGCUGGCGGCAUGCCUUACACAUGCAAGUCGAACGGCAGCACGGGAGCUUGCUCCUGGUGGCGAGUGGCGAACGGGUGAGUAAUACAUCGGAACGUACCCUGAAGUGGGGGAUAACGUAGCGAAAGUUACGCUAAUACCGCAUAUUCUGUGAGCAGGAAAGAGGGGGAUCGCAAGACCUCUUGCUUUAGGAGCGGCCGAUGUCGGAUUAGCUAGUUGGUGAGGUGAAGGCUCACCAAGGCGACGAUCCGUAGCGGGUCUGAGAGGAUGAUCCGCCACACUGGGACUGAGACACGGCCCAGACUCCUACGGGAGGCAGCAGUGGGGAAUUUUGGACAAUGGGCGCAAGCCUGAU